This 252-nucleotide ribosomal RNA is filed under the name uncultured bacterium. RNAcentral describes it as "partial 16S ribosomal RNA". It matches the Rfam family "Bacterial small subunit ribosomal RNA", at positions 524 to 776 of the family's 1533-position model. The record is from RNAcentral.
UACGGAGGAUGCGAGCGUUAUCCGGAUUUAUUGGGUUUAAAGGGUGCGUAGGCGGAUUUUUAAGUCAGCGGUAAAAUGUCCGGGCUCAACCCGGGCCGGCCGUUGAAACUGGGGAUCUUGAGCGGGCGAGAAGUAUGCGGAAUGCGUGGUGUAGCGGUGAAAUGCAUAGAUAUCACGCAGAACUCCGAUUGCGAAGGCAGCAUACCGGCGCCCGACUGACGCUGAGGCACGAAAGCGUGGGGAUCGAACAGG